This 237-nucleotide ribosomal RNA is filed under the name Clostridioides difficile. Its description in RNAcentral is "partial 16S ribosomal RNA". It matches the Rfam family "Bacterial small subunit ribosomal RNA", at positions 1304 to 1533 of the family's 1533-position model. Lineage: Bacteria; Bacillati; Bacillota; Clostridia; Peptostreptococcales; Peptostreptococcaceae. The record is from RNAcentral.
GCUGAAACUCGCCUACAUGAAGCUGGAGUUACUAGUAAUCGCAGAUCAGAAUGCUGCGGUGAAUGCGUUCCCGGGUCUUGUACACACCGCCCGUCACACCACGGGAGUUGGAGACGCCCGAAGCCGAUUAUCUAACCUUUUGGAAGAAGUCGUCGAAGGUGGAAUCAAUAACUGGGGUGAAGUCGUAACAAGGUAGCCGUAUCGGAAGGUGCGGCUGGAUCACCUCCUUUCUAAGGA